This 459-nucleotide ribosomal RNA is filed under the name uncultured bacterium. RNAcentral's name for it is "partial 16S ribosomal RNA". It matches the Rfam family "Bacterial small subunit ribosomal RNA", at positions 338 to 795 of the family's 1533-position model. The record is from RNAcentral.
CCUACGGGAGGCAGCAGUGAGGAAUAUUGGUCAAUGGGCGGGACCCUGAACCAGCCAAGUCGCGUGAGGGAAGAAGGUACUGAGUAUUGUAAACCUCUUUUUCCAGGGGACAAAGGCGGCCACGGGUGGCCGUAAGAGGGUACCUGGAGAAAAAGCAUCGGCUAACUCCGUGCCAGCAGCCGCGGUAAUACGGAGGCUGCGACCGUUAUCCGGAUGUAUUGGGGUUAAAGGGUGCGCUGGCGGCGUGUCAAGUCAGCGGUAAAAUGUCGGGGCUCAACCCCGGCCGGCCGUUGAAACUGGUGUGCUCGAGUUGGAGAGAAGUAUGUGGAAUUCGUGGUGUAGCGGUGAAAUGCAUAGAUAGCACGAAGAAUCCUGAUUGCGAAGGCAGCAUACCGGCUCCACACUGACGCUGAGGCACGAAAGCGUGGGGAUCGAACAGGAUUAGAUACCCCGGUAGUC